GACUGUGGCCGCCGGAAGCCACGCCCCCGGCGCCCUCAGCGCCUGCCAUGGCGGAGUUGGGCAACUUCCGGGUUCGUCAACACGUCCCUUCCAGUGAUCGCGGCGGUGGCUAGAACAGGAUGUGACUCAUCGCACAUUUCUGGGGAUACCUAAUGCAGUCAUUUCGGUGGUCCUGUGAGGUAGAAAACAUUGUCCAGCUUUCCACGCGAGGAAACGUGGCUUGGCGACACGACUGGACUCCCCAGUCCCGCUUUUGCCGAAGACUUCGAAGGACGCAUUUGGAGCGCGAGGCUCCAGCUUGGCGAUGAGGCGGCGGGCUGACGACCUUCCUUCUCCGAAAUUCACUGAUUCGGCGUCAAGAAUGGCACAGCCUCGUAGAGCUACCGCAUUUCCCAAACUCUUAGUCUCAAGACCAAUUUAUACUCGUAAAAAUGAUUGAGGGCCCCAAGCUUUUACUAAUGUGGAUUAUAGCUGUCGAUGUUACCAUACUAUAAGUUAAAAUGCUUUAAA
Cebus imitator (Panamanian white-faced capuchin) is the source of this 510-nucleotide long non-coding RNA. RefSeq lists it as uncharacterized. The transcript is spliced from 2 exons. NCBI's taxonomy places the organism in Eukaryota, Metazoa, Chordata, Mammalia, Primates, Cebidae. The record is from RefSeq and is a predicted model, not a curated record.